GAUGAACGCUGGCGGCGUGCUUAACACAUGCAAGUCGAACGGAAAGGCCCAAGCUUGCUUGGGUCCUCGAGUGGCGAACGGGUGAGUAACACGUGGGUGAUCUGCCCUGCACUUCGGGAUAAGCCUGGGAAACUGGGUCUAAUACCGGAUAGGACCACUUCUUGGAUGUUGUGGUGGAAAGUUUUUUCGGUGUGGGAUGAGCUCGCGGCCUAUCAGCUUGUUGGUGGGGUAAUGGCCUACCAAGGCGUCGACGGGUAGCCGGCCUGAGAGGGUGUACGGCCACAUUGGGACUGAGAUACGGCCCAGACUCCUACGGGAGGCAGCAGUAGGGAAUAUUGCACAAUGGGCGCAAGCCUGAUGCAGCGACGCCGCGUGGGGGAUGACGGCCUUCGGGUUGUAAACUCCUUUCGCUAGGGACGAAGCGUUUUGUGACGGUACCUGGAGAAGAAGCACCGGCUAACUACGUG
This 467-nucleotide ribosomal RNA is filed under the name uncultured bacterium. RNAcentral's name for it is "partial 16S ribosomal RNA". It matches the Rfam family "Bacterial small subunit ribosomal RNA", at positions 28 to 507 of the family's 1533-position model. The record is from RNAcentral.